RNAcentral lists this ribosomal RNA (520 nucleotides) under uncultured bacterium. RNAcentral describes it as "partial 16S ribosomal RNA". It matches the Rfam family "Bacterial small subunit ribosomal RNA", at positions 28 to 507 of the family's 1533-position model. The record is from RNAcentral.
GACGAACGCUGGCGGCGUGCCUAAUACAUGCAAGUCGAACGCACUCUCGUUUAGAUUGAAGGAGUUUGCUCCUGAUUGAUAAACAUUUGAGUGAGUGGCGGACGGGUGAGUAACACGUGGGUAACCUGCCCUAAAGUGGGGGAUAACAUUUGGAAACAGAUGCUAAUACCGCAUAAAACCUAACACCGCAUGGUGUAGGGUUGAAAGAUGGUUUCGGCUAUCACUUUAGGAUGGACCCGCGGUGCAUUAGUUAGUUGGUGAGGUAAAGGCUCACCAAGACCGUGAUGCAUAGCCGACAUGAGAGGGUAAUCGGCCACACUGGGACUGAGACACGGCCCAGACUCCUACGGGAGGCAGCAGUAGGGAAUCUUCCACAAUGGACGAAAGUCUGAUGGAGCAACGCCGCGUGAGUGAAGAAGGUUUUCGGAUCGUAAAACUCUGUUGUUGGAGAAGAAUGUAUCUGAUAGUAACUGAUCAGGUAGUGACGGUAUCCAACCAGAAAGCCACGGCUAACUACGUG